Molecule: ribosomal RNA, 802 nt
Filed under: uncultured archaeon
Lineage: Archaea
Description: bacterial SSU rRNA
Rfam family: Archaeal small subunit ribosomal RNA (bases 95-802)
Source: RNAcentral
CCUUAUUCACUUUUAUGUGGUUUCGCCAAUUGGAUUCAACGCCGGAGUCAACGCCAAUUGGAGUCAACGCCGGAAUUGGAGUCAAUUGGAUUCAACGCCGGGCCUGCCGGACCCCACUGCUAUCGAGAUGGGACUGAGGUAUGCUAGUCGAACGACCAGAACUAUGUCUGGAAGUGGCACACUGCUCAGUAACACGUAGCUAACCUACCCUUAGGACGUGGAUACCCCCGAGAAAUUGGGGUUAAUCCGCGAUAGGUGUAAUGUCCUGGAAUGGUAUUACGCCUAAAGGUGUAUCAUACAUGUUUGAUAUACGCCUAAGGAUGGGGCUGCGGCCGAUCAGGCUGUUGGUGAGGUAAUGGCUCACCAAACCUUUGACCGGUACGGGCCAUGAGAGUGGUAGCCCGGAGAUGGACACUGAGACAAGGGUCCAGGCCCUAAGGGGCGCAGCAACCGCGAAACCUCCACAAUGCACUCACGUGCGAUGGGGCUAUCUCGAGUGCCACCUGAUGAAGGUGGCUUUUCCUAGGUCUUCAAAGCCUUGGGAAUAAGAGGGGGGCAAGACUGGUGUCAGCCGCCGCGGUAACACCAGCCCCUCGAGUGGUGGGGAUGAUUAUUUGGCCUAAAGCGUCCGUAGCCGGCCGAGCAAGUCUUCCGUUAAAUCCAGCGUCUCAAGCGUUGGACUGCGGGAGAUACUACACGGCUAGAGGGUGGGAGAGGUCAGCGGUAUUCUGGGGGUAGGGGCGAAAUCCUUUGAUCCCCGGAGGACCACCAGUGGCGAAGGCUGCUGACUAGAACACGUCUG